Hypanus sabinus (Atlantic stingray) is the source of this 826-nucleotide long non-coding RNA. RefSeq lists it as uncharacterized. The transcript has 3 exons. Lineage: Eukaryota; Metazoa; Chordata; Chondrichthyes; Myliobatiformes; Dasyatidae. The record is from RefSeq and is a predicted model, not a curated record.
CAGAGCCUCCCGAGUAUUGAAUCUUUCCAUUCAGACAAUAGCAACUGCGAUUCUACCCAUAGCAAGAUCUGGAAGUCAGGAAAAAAUGAUUUACAACUUGAUCUGUGUUGAAUAAUUUUGAUUGUAGUGGGAGAACUGACCAGGACCUAAGAGGAAAGGUACCACAAAGACUUCCAGAGUACAUUAACUGUUUAACAUGAAGCUACCAGAUUGACAAUAGAUAUUGACAAGAGACUGGAUUUUUCCACCGAGGGACUGGGAAUGCACUUAUCUCAGUGCAGAGUAAUGCGCGUGUGGGCCAAAGGUGUACACAGCCAAUCCAAGAAACACAAUAGAAUAAAUGAAAGACUAUACCUGAGAGAACAGAGAAACAAGCAAUCUGCAAACAACAACAAACUGUGCAAGUACGAAAGAGAAGAAAAAAAGCCUUACAUUUUGAGAACAUGAGAUGAUGAGAUUUUGAAAUCGAUUCCAUAGGUUGUGGGAACAUUUCAAUGAUGGGCAAAAGAAGUUGAGUGAAGCCUUUGGUUCAAGAGCCUGAUGGUUAAAGUGUAAUAACUGUUCCUGGACCUGGUGGUGUGGAUCAUGAGGCUCCUGUACAUUCUUCUUGAUGGCAGAGCAAGAGGAGACCACGGCCGGGGUGGUGGGUGUCUUUAAUGAUAGAUACUGGUUUCCUGUGACAACGCUCCAUGUAGAUGUGCUCAAGGGUGGGGAGGGCUUUACCAGUGAUGAACUGGGCCAUAGCCACUACUUUUUGUAGAAUUUUCCAUUCAAGGGCAUUGGUGUGUCCAUACCAGGCUGUGAUGCAAACAGUCAAUAAACUCUC